UACGUAGGGUGCGAGCGUUGCCCGGAUUUAUUGGGCGUAAAGGGCGCGUAGGCGGUGAGAUGCGUCCGUUGUGAAAUCGCCCGGCUCAACUGGGCGGGGUCAGCGGAUACGGUGUGGCUCGAGCAAGCUAGGGGGCAAUGGAAUUCCCGGUGUAGUGGUGGAAUGCGUAGAUAUCGGGAGGAACACCAGUGGCGAAGGCGGUUGCCUGGAGCUUUGCUGACGCUGAGGCGCGAAAGCGUGGGGAGCGAUCCGG
RNAcentral lists this ribosomal RNA (253 nucleotides) under uncultured bacterium. Its description in RNAcentral is "partial 16S ribosomal RNA". It matches the Rfam family "Bacterial small subunit ribosomal RNA", at positions 524 to 776 of the family's 1533-position model. The record is from RNAcentral.